CGGGGAGCGGCGGGGACGGGGCUGGCAGUGCCCGGCGGCAGCGGCAGGAGGAGCUGCCACCGCCCGCCCCCCGCCCAGCCCGGCACCGCCCGCCGCCCCCCCGCAGCCCGGGGGCCCGGCGCGCCCCGGGGGAGCAUGGAGCGGCGCGGGGGGCGGCAGCAGGAUUCCGGAGGUAGCGUUUCCGAACGGAGGGAAUGGAGACCGGUGGUUGACAGGAAGUGCACGGACACGCCCUGGUUGCUCCUCUUCUUUCUUUUCUGGGCUGGUUUGAUGUUUAUAACUGGCUAUGCUGUGAUGGCCGGUGCCACAGAAAGGCUUGUGCUUGGAUAUGACAGCUUCGGGAACAUCUGUGGUAGGAAGAACACUCCUGUAAAAGGGGCACCCCUUUCUGGACAGGACAUGACUAAUAAAAAGUAUGUGUUCUUUCUGAAUUCAUGCAGCCUGGAAAUGCAAAGCCUCAAAAUCAGUUCAGUUUCCUUGUGCGUGUCUAGUUGUCCACAAGAGCAACUCAACUCUUUGGAAGACCUCCAGAGUUUUGCAAGGAAUAAUGGUUCUUGUCUUUGUGUUUACAACCUGAACGUUUCUAGUUACACCCUAAAUCCAAAGGCAGCUGAGCUGUGUCCCGCACUGCCGGUUCCACCAAGUAAAUCUUUUCCGUUGUUUAACCGAUGUGUCCCACAAAAUCCUGAGUGCUAUUCCAAAUAUGCAUCUGUCUUAAUAAGUAUGGUGAAUGAAAUGGAUGUCUUUCACCGAAUUCUGAGUGGAAUAUUGGCAGGAAGAGAUACUGUGAUAGGAAUGAGUUUCCUUGCACUAGCCUUCUCCUUUAUGCUGGUUUUAGCCUUCAGAUUCAUUCGGACCCUUCUGGUCCAUACUUUGGUUGCACUGGUUGUGUUCGGGCUGUUGUUUGUCUCAGGUGUUCUCUGGUGGCUCUAUUAUGACUACAGGAAUGAUCCCAGCACUGAACUGGAAACAGAAAAGGAAAAUGUAAAAUUUUUACUUGGAUAUGCUGUCUUCUCGACAAUAGUUACCGUUGUUCUGCUUUCCCUUAUGUUUGUACUAAGAAGGAGGCUUCAGUUCACUGUACAGCUCUUUCGGAUUGUUGGUAAAAUCAUUGGCAGAAUUCCUUUCCUCCUGUUCCAACCACUCUGGACCUUUCUGAUUCUCAUUGUGUUCUGGCUGUUUUGGGUUGCUGUACUACUUAGUUUAGGAACUGCAGGUACUGCGCAGACUGCUUCAGGAGGACAGGUAGAAUACAGAGCUCUGUCCGGAAUUUCCUACAUGGCAUGGUAUCAUUUCGUUGGCCUUAUCUGGACUAGUGAAUUCAUUCUUGCCUGUCAGCAGAUGACAAUUGCGGGGGCAGUGGUUACUUGUUACUUCAACAGAAAUAAAAAUAACCCACCACCUCACCCAGUCCUGUCUUCCAUAUCAGUUCUUUUUUGCUAUCAUCUAGGAACCGCUGUAAAAGGCUCUUUUCUAAUCGCAAUACUGAGAAUACCAAGGAUUGUUCUCUUGUACCUUUAUAAUAUCCUAAGACAAAAGGAGAGUGCAUGUGCAAAGUGCCUGUUCAAGUGCUGUUUCUGCUGGUUUUGGUGCCAGGAAAGUUGCUUAAGAUACUUUAACCAGCAUGCGUACACAACUACAGCCAUAAAUGGGACAAACUUUUGUACGUCAGCAAAGGAUGCUGUCUUUAUUUUGGCGAAGAAUUCUGCUAAACUUGCAUCCAUUAGCUGUUUUGGAGAUUUUAUCCUAUUUCUAGGAAAGGUAUUUGUUGUGUGUUUUACUGUUUUUGGAGGAUUGAUGGCAUUUAACUACCAUCGGGAGUUGCAAGCUUGGGUCGUUCCUCUUCUGCUGGUUGGAUUUUUUGCCUACCUGAUGUCCCACAGCUUUCUGUCUGUGUUUGAAGUGACAGCAGAUGCCAUGUUCCUUUGCUUUGCUAUUGAUAUGGAAACAAAUGACGGAUCUGAAGAGAAGCCAUACUUCAUGGAUCAGGAACUGCUGGGCCUUGGGUGAAGAGAGGACUUCCCACGGGGGUAAGGAGUCUUCCAAGCAGGGCAGGCUGUAUAACCUUGUAUGGAAAAAUUGAGGGCCACACAUCCAAACUCCUCCUCAUUGCAUGAUCAAGAACCUUCAUGAGUCAGAGUAACAAGUUGACAGAAGGGCAAAAACACAGAAGCACGAGACCUUUCCAGGACAAUGAAGAUGGGACAGAGCUCCAGCCUAUGACUUGAAUGUGAAGCGCACCAGGAAGCAUGAAGGCAAACCAGCAAUAGCAAAAACAGUCAUGGAAAAGAAGUAAAGGUUGCCAGUACCCCAGGACAAAGUGUUAAUUCUCUAAAUAUCUGUUGUACCUUCUGCACUGGUAAAAUGACGCACAAUCUGUUUGUAUGAAUAAUGUAUUUUGUGUGUCAGCACACCUGAUUUUUAUUAAUAUACUCGUUAUAAUGGUCUGAAAAUUGUUAAUAAACACACUCCUUGUAAAUUUCUGUGUUGUCAG
This is an RNA transcript of Chroicocephalus ridibundus (black-headed gull), 2494 nucleotides long. It is a transcript of the gene named solute carrier family 44 member 3, with no coding region annotated. The transcript has 17 exons. The record is from RefSeq and is a predicted model, not a curated record. Lineage: Eukaryota; Metazoa; Chordata; Aves; Charadriiformes; Laridae.